UCAUUUUCCUCACGCCAAAACCAUCCUCCUAACCCUAAAACCACCCAAAACCAUGGCUGCCCUUCCCACCUUCUUCCCCGUCACCCCCAGCUGCCAUGAUCGGCGAGCCAGUUCCCCCUUCACCUGAACUUCACGCCAAACAACCCCUCCCAUCGUCCCCUCACGCUGGCGACAUCGACACAGCUAAACCAGUCAAAAUCCGUCACCUUCGCCAUUCUCGUCGACCAUCAAUAGCAGCAAACACCUUCUGAAACCAGCUUCUCAAACCACUAUUUCCGUCAACCAAACAGUCUGAUCGCUGCUGCCUCCAAACGACCAGCCAACGCAGCAGAUGUCUCCACUUCGUCAACUACCAAACGACUCUCAGCAGUGUCGACCAGUCAGCCCGCCUCCUUCACCAGUCGAAUUGCUUGGAACCAGCCCUAUUUCCGUAUUCUUUUCUAGCUUUCCGGCGAGCUAGAGGUUUGUUAAGUUCCUUCUUUGAAGUGUCGUCCGACGAGGUCGUCCUUUUGAGGUUGGAGGUCGUCAUCCAAGGAGUCUGUUUCAGUUGCAGUUCGAGGUCGUUGUUUGAAAUUUCCGGCCAGAUUCGAGUUUAUUUUGGUUUCAAAGUUUUCUGGCAGAUUUGUUUCCAUUCGAGUUCGUCGUUGUUUUGAUCCGGUUAGUUGGUUUAAAUUUCAUUUCUAUCCAUAUUUUUUUUGAUAUUUUCGGAUCUAAAAUCAGUAUGUAUUUGGUUAUUUUCUUGUUCGUUGUUUAUCAUACUCUUGUUUAUUUCUUCAGUUUUUUUUUAUUUAAACGGAUUUAGUUUUAAUAUAGAAGUAUGUUCGUUUAAUAAAUCUUUCAUUUUGAUUGCAAUAUUGUUAGAUUUAAUUUGAAGUUUAAUUGAUUAUUGAGUUUAGAGAAUUGAAUCCGUUUUGUUCUAUUUAAGUCUUAGUUUGGAUCUGAGUUAGAAAUUGGAAUUUGUUUGUUUGAUCUGUUUAAGUUUAAUUUGAACUUGAGCUUAAUGAUUUAAAUAUAUUGCUUGUUAUUGUUGUUGAAUCUGAAAAUAUGUUUGUUGUUAAAAAUAUUUCACUCAAAAUAAUUUUGGUUCUUUGUUGUUCAUCAGAUUAAUUGUUGAAUUUGGUUAAGAAUUUGUUAUAGUUGCUAUAUUUCGGUUAAUUGAUUUAGAUGAAUUGGUUAUAGCUGACGAGGGUAUAAUGGUAAUUUUAGUAGUUUGAAGGGGAUAUUUUUGGAAUUAAAAAUAUAAAGAAUUGUUUGAAAAUAGUGGGGAGCAUAAUUAUGUAAAGUAAAAAGAGGGGACAAGACAUGUGGGGAGCAUAAUGAUUCAGGUAAAUAGAGAGUGGACCGUGGGGUCCACGUUUGACUGCUUUUGUUGAUUGGGAUUUAGAAAUAGUGUGUAAUAAUAAAAGGGGUAGUAAUAAAAGUUAAAAGAAUAGGGGAAAAAGUCUUGCCUUUUGGGUAUAUAAUAGGACUCAUUUUACACUUAUUGAGGGGGAAAUUAGAGAAAAGAAAAUAUUUUUCAGAACUUGAGGGAAGAUAAAAAGACUUUUGAAUCUUAAAAAUUCUGGGAGUUUUUGAAAGUUAGAAAUUAAAGAAAAAUAUGUCCUUCUUCACUGAGUAUAAUUAGCAUCAACUGCUAUCGUUCCAUAAAGCUUCAAGCUUCUUUUUCUUGAGUGAUAAAAAUCAGAAGUUAUUUUUUGGCAACUGGAUAUUUCUUUAUUGGUCUUUCUCCUGGGUUUUCUGCUAUUCCCGCUAAUACUAGGCUACUCCGUGUUGUUGAGUUGUUGUAGCUGUGUAUUGCUACUGCUAUCCUGCUGUCACUCAUCUUCUUUUGCUUCUAAUAUCAGGUACACAACUGGUACGCCUUGUAAGUUGAUAACAUGAAGAUUGCUUAUACAAAUGAAGAGUUGAAGUAUUAAUUUUAUUUAGUUUUGUUACUGAAUGUAUUUGGGCCACUCUAUAUACUAUUGUUAUAUAAGUUUCUGCCAUGUUCGUAUGACAGGACAACUUGUAGUGUUGUAUUAAAUAAUAUUCUGUUUUAAUUUGGUU
Molecule: long non-coding RNA, 2046 nt
Filed under: Nicotiana benthamiana
Lineage: Eukaryota; Viridiplantae; Streptophyta; Magnoliopsida; Solanales; Solanaceae
Description: long non-coding RNA (NBEN_LNC009344)
Source: RNAcentral